Molecule: long non-coding RNA, 1500 nt
Organism: Taeniopygia guttata (zebra finch)
Lineage: Eukaryota; Metazoa; Chordata; Aves; Passeriformes; Estrildidae
Source: RefSeq, a predicted model, not a curated record
UCAGAAGAGCUGAGAGGCUCUUUGGGAUGCUGGGGGCAGUUAGGGGAGGUGGGGGUGAGUUGGAUAUGUGGAAUUAGAGGAGGCAGCUGCAGUGGCCUCCAACACCCACAUUGCCAUCUCAGUUCCAGCUUCUCUGCAGGGUCAGCACCCAGCUGGGACCAAGGCCUGUCCUCUCUCUGUCCCCAGUACCCUCGCUUCACCUUUUGCUGCCUGCCAGCUGCCACACACACCCUUACUCACACCUUGCCAGUUGGAGAUCUCAGUUGGAGAUACUGAGAUCUCCGAGCCAGUAAAACCCAACCUAGAGUUACAGUGUCCCAUGAAGCCAAAAGCACAGCCUCAGAACAUCAUUACUGCUGCUUUGUGGAAUUGUGCCCUGAUCCUACAGAAUCCAGCCACUGGUGCACCAGGAGGAGGUUGGAGAUGAGGGAAACAGAGGGCAAGCCCUCACAGAGCCACAGUGUAAACACUGAUGCUAGUCCCUGUCCUGGAGUGGAUUUUGGUAUACAGACCCUCAUGGAUCUCCCUGCAGUGCCCACUCCCUGCCCAGCCACAGGCUGGAUAGGGAAACCCUGACUCAAGACGGUGCUCUCUAACAGUGCCUGAAUCCAUUGCAUGCACUGGGACAUUAUCACCUCCAUCCGAGCAAGAAGCAGGUUUGGAAGAGGAUGCACUGGAAAAACAGCUCUUCCUUUCCUGCAAAGGCCGCUGGUUUGAGGCACAGAUCCAUUUAUUUCUAGGAGAGCUGGCAGACACAUCCCAGUUGGCAUUUCCUUGUGCGUUGGCCGAGCCCCGGCCGGCAGCAGCAUCCCUGCCCCGCAUGCGAAGGAGGGCUCUAAAAAGCAGCACUGGAGCAGGGAUCAUGCGAUUCUGAAUGUGACAACCUCCUUUUUCUCUUUAGAUUGUUUUUACCAAGGUUCUCUGGCACUUCUAUCAAUGUGCCAUUAUACUCGUGGAUAACGAGGCAGCAAUCACGUGCAGCAUAUUAAGGAGGGUGUUUUUUCCCCUCUGUGGCUGUUUGGGGUGAGCGUGGGUGUCAGUGCCAGCCAUGCUGUGGGUCUCCCUCCCUCAUGCUGGUUUGGGUACCAGAGCACAAAGGCAAAGCGCUGGCGUGAGCUCAGGCACGCAAUAGGGUGUUGCUAUAGGCCAGCAAACACUGCUGUCCUCACAGGGAAAAUCCCAGAAUUCUAGAAUAGUUUGGCUUGGAAAGGACAUUAAAGAUCAUCCAGUUCCAAGCCCUGUGCUAUGGGUGGGGACAAAAUCCCCAGCUUCUCUCCUAGCAGUGCUGAGCAUUGCUCUGCCAGGGUCUUCAAACCCAACCAAGAAAAUGGGGGGAAAACUGAGCUUAGAGGCCUUUUUAAGCUGGUAAAAUUGUAAAUAGAUGGAAAUUUCGACUUCUUGCUAAAUAUGUAUGAUUUGAGCUGCAAAUAUUAUUUUGAAUCACUAAUUAUUGGGUUUGGCAUGUCUGCAACACAAUUAAAUUACAGCUGCCACUUUGAA